AUGCCGAUGGUGCGUGCCUAAACAUGCAGUCGAACGCGAAAGUUUCUUCGGAAAUGAGUAGAGUGGCGCACGGGUGAGUAACGCGUGGAUUAUCUACCUAUUGGUACGGGACUACAGUUGGAAACGACUGCUAAUACCGUAUAAGCUGGUAACGGGAAAGGGGGCCUCUUCUUGAAAGCUCUCGCCAGUAGAUGAGUCCGCGUUUCAUUAGCUAGACGGUGGGGUAACGGCCUACCGUGGCAACGAUGAAUAGCAGGCCUGAGAGGGUGGCCUGCCACACUGGGACUGGAACACGGCCCAGACUCCUACGGGAGGCAGCAGUGGGGAAUAUUGCGCAAUGGACGAAAGUCUGACGCAGCGACGCCGCGUGGAGGAUGAAGGUUUUCGGAUCGUAAACUCCUGUCAAGAGGGAAGAAACCUAUCAAAAAUAAUACUUUUGGUAAUUGACGGUACCUCUAGAGGAAGCACCGGCUAAUUCAGUGCCAGCAGCCGCGGUAGUACUGAAGGUGCAAGCGUUAAUCGGAAUCACUGGGCGUAAAGCGCUCGUAGGUGGCUUUGUAAGUCAGGUGUGAAAGCCCACGGCUCAACCGUGGAAUUGCACUUGAUACUGCAUCGCUAGAGUAUAGGAGAGGGAAGUGGAAUUUCUGGUGUAGGAGUGAAAUCCGUAGAGAUCAGAAGGAACACCCGUGGCGAAGGCGACUUCCUGGACUAUUACUGACACUGAGGAGCGAAAGCGUGGGGAGCAAACAGGAUUAGAUACCCUGGUAGUCCACGCCGUAAACGAUGGGUACUAGGUGUCGGGGGCUUGACCUUCGGUGCCGUAGUUAACGCGUUAAGUACCCCGCCUGGGGAGUACGGUCGCAAGGCUGAAACUCAAAUGAAUUUGACGGAAGGGCGAA
RNAcentral lists this ribosomal RNA (899 nucleotides) under uncultured bacterium. RNAcentral's name for it is "bacterial SSU rRNA". It matches the Rfam family "Bacterial small subunit ribosomal RNA", at positions 33 to 925 of the family's 1533-position model. The record is from RNAcentral.